GUGCAGAAGAGUCAGGUCUCUAUCAUCUAUUACACAAAUCUCCUCAUCACCAACCUAAUCCAGAUCUGCAUAAUGACCCUUUGGGUGACAAGAGUGGAAAGCAUCAUCACCAUCAUUAUUUAUUACUGUGUUAUGAUGGCCAACCUUUACUUCAGGAUGUGCAUUGUUCUGGAAAGGUAUUUUUCCAUCACACACCCACUGCUGGACUGUCUUAAAAAAACUGAGAGUUCGGUGGUGGUCUGUGUUCUGGUCUGGGCAUUUUGUAUUGUCAGUGUCACUCUUGCGAUAGUCUUACAUGAAUUUCAACGAUUACUUGUUUAUGCCGCUCUCCCUGCUCCUGUGUUCAUCUUCUGUUCAGCUCAGACUUUCAGAGCCCUGCCUGCUGCCAACUCAAUGCCUACUGAGGAAAAAGAGAGAAGUCUGGGAACUUUGAUUUUGUUGUUUUUUAACUACUUUCUAGGAACCGUUCCCACAAUGAUCUUUGAUAUUCUAGUUAUUCAAAGUUAUAUCAGCUGGAUCUUGUUUCUGCUUGGUCCUUUUCUGGAAUUGAUUCUGUUUUCUUACAUCUUCUCUGCAUGUGUGUGGUGUGUGGCCACCACUGCAUCAGAUGAAGAAGUUGAUGAUGAGUGUGGCUUACUUUAGAACAGACAGGUGUUUUGAUUAAAAGAGACACGAGAGAGAAAUAAGGACGGAAAUGGUUGAAGAGUUUCUGAGAACUGAGGCAAAAAAAAUCCUUCACAAAUACCGUUGCACGAGGACAUCAGACUGUCAGCUGUGCUUCUCUCAACUGAAGUGUGUCUGUGUAAAUAAUCUUAAAAAUGUUUUAGAAGCUGCUAUGAACACUCUUUUUAUUCCAAUAUUGAACACUGAAAAAAUACCUUUUUUUUUUAACAUUUCCCAUAUAGUUUACCUUUUUUCCUUUUCUUUUGUUUUCUUUGUUUCUAUGGCUAUGUCCACACAUACACGGGUAUUUUUUGAAACCUGAGAUUUUCUGUUUUCUUUUUUUUUUAUUCACUGAGCACGCUUCCUGAUGUAUUCGUGGAUGUUCGCUGCCUCCUAGACUGUGGUACUGACACUCACUAGUUACUGGUCUUAUCCUUUACGCUUAGCAUACAGCUUCAGGGUGCUGGAGAUGUUGUGAAAGCCUCCAUGCAGGGUCAGGAGCUUCCUGUUCUUGAUGUCAGUGGCUUCUAUCUCCUACGUUGGCCAGCUUAUAUAAAGAUAUACAUGUGUGCUUCUGGGGUUAAAAAACCAAAUACAUGUAGCAAAAUGUAAAUAAACUUGUGUUUAUGCUUCUUCCUGCUUCUAUUUGAAUAAUGGUUUCGCUUAUGUUUGACUUUUUUUUGUUUUUGUAUAAUUGUAACAUGUUCAGUAACAAGCUACCUAUCAACUAGUAUACUGUAUGUUGUAAUAUGUAGCUAUAUCCAUACCAAGCUGUUUUGAAGCUCCUUCAAAAUAGGUCUAAAUAGCUAUAUACAGCAGACUUAAUGUCUUAACUUAAUAAAUCAAAUCAUUUUCUUGCCUGCCUUCUUUGAACCAAUUAGCAUCCACCAUAGUUUAUCUCAGUGCUUGUCUGUGUUUUGUUUGUCACCUUAUUUCUGAAGAACGAGUCAUUUUAAUCUCUGCUACUCAAAAUUAACAAUCUCAGCCAAACUGAUUUACUCAGGAAUAAAUAAAACACUGAAAAAAGCCAAACAAUAAAAUUUUUAAGUUAUCUAAAGGACUUAUAUAUCAUGUUUAACCUGAAUAGCGAAACACCGCGGGGGUUUGAAAACAAUGUACCGGGAGUUCGCUGUUCUCGCUGGCUCUAGCGACCCUUGAACCCCCGGCUAGAUAUCGAGCUGGUGGGUAACGGACGUCUCCGAAAACGUCGGAGCACAAAUAUGUGAUGUCUUGAUAAAUCGAGCAGAUAUUUGAAGUCUACACAGCUACAUUCUCACCUGAAAUUAUCUUAAAAGUUUAUUUUGUGACCCAGAAAGAGUAAUAUUAACACCAGCACUGCCAGGCUUCUACCUUUAAAACCCGCCUUCCAGCCAAAU
Astatotilapia calliptera (eastern happy) is the source of this 2039-nucleotide long non-coding RNA. The record is from Ensembl. NCBI's taxonomy places the organism in Eukaryota, Metazoa, Chordata, Actinopteri, Cichliformes, Cichlidae.